RNAcentral lists this non-coding RNA (33 nucleotides) under unclassified sequences. Its description in RNAcentral is "DUF805b RNA". It matches the Rfam family "DUF805b RNA". From Rfam's summary of the family: Bacteroidetes, Chlorobi (1 example), Proteobacteria. Lineage (Flavobacteria) The record is from RNAcentral.
AUAGGGGAAGCCGAAAACCUUUAAGAGUAGGCG